RNAcentral lists this ribosomal RNA (490 nucleotides) under uncultured bacterium. Its description in RNAcentral is "partial 16S ribosomal RNA". It matches the Rfam family "Bacterial small subunit ribosomal RNA", at positions 30 to 507 of the family's 1533-position model. The record is from RNAcentral.
AUUGAACGCUGGCGGCAGGCCUAACACAUGCAAGUCGAACGGUAACAGGAAGAAGCUUGCUUCUUUGCUGACGAGUGGCGGACGGGUGAGUAAUGUCUGGGAAACUGCCCGAUGGAGGGGGAUAACUACUGGAAACGGUAGCUAAUACCGCAUAACGUCGCAAGACCAAAGAGGGGGACCUUCGGGCCUCUUGCCAUCGGAUGUGCCCAGAUGGGAUUAGCUUGUUGGUGGGGUAACGGCUCACCAAGGCGACGAUCCCUAGCUGGUCUGAGAGGAUGACCAGCCACACUGGAACUGAGACACGGUCCAGACUCCUACGGGAGGCAGCAGUGGGGAAUAUUGCACAAUGGGCGCAAGCCUGAUGCAGCCAUGCCGCGUGUAUGAAGAAGGCCUUCGGGUUGUAAAGUACUUUCAGCGGGGAGGAAGGGAGUAAAGUUAAUACCUUUGCUCAUUGACGUUACCCGCAGAAGAAGCACCGGCUAACUCCGUG